RNAcentral lists this ribosomal RNA (3042 nucleotides) under Salmonella enterica. Its description in RNAcentral is "23S ribosomal RNA". It matches the Rfam family "Bacterial large subunit ribosomal RNA". RNAcentral also lists the same sequence under 1 other name. Lineage: Bacteria; Pseudomonadati; Pseudomonadota; Gammaproteobacteria; Enterobacterales; Enterobacteriaceae. The record is from RNAcentral.
GGGUUGUGAGGUUAAGCGACUAAGCGUACACGGUGGAUGCCCUGGCAGUCAGAGGCGAUGAAGGGCGUGCUAAUCUGCGAUAAGCGCCGGUAAGGUGAUAUGAACCGUUAUAACCGGCGAUACCCGAAUGGGGAAACCCAGUGUGACUCGUCACACUAUCAUUAACUGAAUCCAUAGGUUAAUGAGGCGAACCGGGGGAACUGAAACAUCUAAGUACCCCGAGGAAAAGAAAUCAACCGAGAUUCCCCCAGUAGCGGCGAGCGAACGGGGAGGAGCCCAGAGCCUGAAUCAGCAUGUGUGUUAGUGGAAGCGUCUGGAAAGGCGCGCGAUACAGGGUGACAGCCCCGUACACAAAAGCGCAUGUGCUGUGAGCUCGAUGAGUAGGGCGGGACACGUGGUAUCCUGUCUGAAUAUGGGGGGACCAUCCUCCAAGGCUAAAUACUCCUGACUGACCGAUAGUGAACCAGUACCGUGAGGGAAAGGCGAAAAGAACCCCGGCGAGGGGAGUGAAAAAGAACCUGAAACCGUGUACGUACAAGCAGUGGGAGCCCCACCACCAAAGCGUUUCGCUUUGUGUGGUGCACAAAGAAGCGUAACGACAGCACUGAAUGACGGUUAACGGAGCGCAAGCGACGUUCAACAUACAAAGUCAAGCAGUGGAGCGCUUUGGGGUGGGGUGACUGCGUACCUUUUGUAUAAUGGGUCAGCGACUUAUAUUCUGUAGCAAGGUUAACCGAAUAGGGGAGCCGGAGGGAAACCGAGUCUUAACCGGGCGUUAAGUUGCAGGGUAUAGACCCGAAACCCGGUGAUCUAGCCAUGGGCAGGUUGAAGGUUGGGUAACACUAACUGGAGGACCGAACCGACUAAUGUUGAAAAAUUAGCGGAUGACCUGUGGCUGGGGGUGAAAGGCCAAUCAAACCGGGAGAUAGCUGGUUCUCCCCGAAAGCUAUUUAGGUAGCGCCUCGUGAAUUCAUCUCCGGGGGUAGAGCACUGUUUCGGCUAGGGGGCCAUCCCGGCUUACCAACCCGAUGCAAACUGCGAAUACCGGAGAAUGUUAUCACGGGAGACACACGGCGGGUGCUAACGUCCGUCGUGAAGAGGGAAACAACCCAGACCGCCAGCUAAGGUCCCAAAGUCAUGGUUAAGUGGGAAACGAUGUGGGAAGGCCCAGACAGCCAGGAUGUUGGCUUAGAAGCAGCCAUCAUUUAAAGAAAGCGUAAUAGCUCACUGGUCGAGUCGGCCUGCGCGGAAGAUGUAACGGGGCUAAACCAUGCACCGAAGCUGCGGCAGCGACGCUUAUGCGUUGUUGGGUAGGGGAGCGUUCUGUAAGCCUGUGAAGGUGGCCUGUGAGGGUUGCUGGAGGUAUCAGAAGUGCGAAUGCUGACAUAAGUAACGAUAAAGCGGGUGAAAAGCCCGCUCGCCGGAAGACCAAGGGUUCCUGUCCAACGUUAAUCGGGGCAGGGUGAGUCGACCCCUAAGGCGAGGCCGAAAGGCGUAGUCGAUGGGAAACGGGUUAAUAUUCCCGUACUUGGUGUUACUGCGAAGGGGGGACGGAGAAGGCUAUGUUGGCCGGGCGACGGUUGUCCCGGUUUAAGCGUGUAGGUGUGUGUUCCAGGUAAAUCCGGUUCACUUUAACACUGAGGCGUGAUGACGAGGCACUACGGUGCUGAAGCAACAAAUGCCCUGCUUCCAGGAAAAGCCUCUAAGCAUCAGGUAACAUCAAAUCGUACCCCAAACCGACACAGGUGGUCAGGUAGAGAAUACCAAGGCGCUUGAGAGAACUCGGGUGAAGGAACUAGGCAAAAUGGUGCCGUAACUUCGGGAGAAGGCACGCUGAUAUGUAGGUGAAGCGGUUUACCCGUGGAGCUGAAAUCAGUCGAAGAUACCAGCUGGCUGCAACUGUUUAUUAAAAACACAGCACUGUGCAAACACGAAAGUGGACGUAUACGGUGUGACGCCUGCCCGGUGCCGGAAGGUUAAUUGAUGGGGUCAGCGCAAGCGAAGCUCCUGAUCGAAGCCCCGGUAAACGGCGGCCGUAACUAUAACGGUCCUAAGGUAGCGAAAUUCCUUGUCGGGUAAGUUCCGACCUGCACGAAUGGCGUAAUGAUGGCCAGGCUGUCUCCACCCGAGACUCAGUGAAAUUGAACUCGCUGUGAAGAUGCAGUGUACCCGCGGCAAGACGGAAAGACCCCGUGAACCUUUACUAUAGCUUGACACUGAACAUUGAGCCUUGAUGUGUAGGAUAGGUGGGAGGCUUUGAAGCGUGGACGCCAGUCUGCGUGGAGCCGACCUUGAAAUACCACCCUUUAAUGUUUGAUGUUCUAACGUGGACCCGUUACCCGGGUUGCGGACAGUGUCUGGUGGGUAGUUUGACUGGGGCGGUCUCCUCCUAAAGAGUAACGGAGGAGCACGAAGGUUGGCUAAUCCUGGUCGGACAUCAGGAGGUUAGUGCAAUGGCAUAAGCCAGCUUGACUGCGAGCGUGACGGCGCGAGCAGGUGCGAAAGCAGGUCAUAGUGAUCCGGUGGUUCUGAAUGGAAGGGCCAUCGCUCAACGGAUAAAAGGUACUCCGGGGAUAACAGGCUGAUACCGCCCAAGAGUUCAUAUCGACGGCGGUGUUUGGCACCUCGAUGUCGGCUCAUCACAUCCUGGGGCUGAAGUAGGUCCCAAGGGUAUGGCUGUUCGCCAUUUAAAGUGGUACGCGAGCUGGGUUUAGAACGUCGUGAGACAGUUCGGUCCCUAUCUGCCGUGGGCGCUGGAGAACUGAGGGGGGCUGCUCCUAGUACGAGAGGACCGGAGUGGACGCAUCACUGGUGUUCGGGUUGUCAUGCCAAUGGCACUGCCCGGUAGCUAAAUGCGGAAGAGAUAAGUGCUGAAAGCAUCUAAGUACGAAACUUGCCCCGAGAUGAGUUCUCCCUGAGACUUUAGGUCUCCUGAAGGAACGUUGAAGACGACGACGUUGAUAGGCCGGGUGUGUAAGCGCAGCGAUGCGUUGAGCUAACCGGUACUAAUGAACCGUGAGGCUUAACCUUACAACGCCGAAG